CCUACGGGAGGCAGCAGUGGGGGAUAUUGCACAAUGGGGGAAACCCUGAUGCAGCGACGCCGCGUGAGGGAAGACGGUUUCCGGAUUGUAAACCUCUGUCUUUGGGGACGAAUUGAGACGGUACCCAAGGAGGAAGCUCCGGCUAACUCCGUGCCAGCACCCGCGGUAAUACGUAGGGAGCAAGCGUUAUCCGGAUUUAUUGGGUUUAAAGGGUGCGCAGGCGGAUUUUUAAGUCAGCGGUCAAAUCGUGGGGCUCAACCUCAUCCAGCCGUUGAAACUGGGGAUGUAGAGUGUGCGAGAAGUAUGCGGAAGGCGUGGUGUAGCGGUGAAAUGCAUAGAUAUCACGCAGAACCCCGAUUGCGAAGGCAGCAUACCGGUGCACAACUGACGCUCAGGCACGAAAGCGUGGGUAUCGAACAGGAUUAGAUACCCCAGUAGUC
Molecule: ribosomal RNA, 440 nt
Filed under: uncultured bacterium
Lineage: Bacteria
Description: partial 16S ribosomal RNA
Rfam family: Bacterial small subunit ribosomal RNA
Source: RNAcentral